RNAcentral lists this ribosomal RNA (253 nucleotides) under uncultured bacterium. RNAcentral's name for it is "partial 16S ribosomal RNA". It matches the Rfam family "Bacterial small subunit ribosomal RNA", at positions 524 to 776 of the family's 1533-position model. The record is from RNAcentral.
UACGGAGGUCCCAAGCGUUGUUCGGAUUCAUUGGGCGUAAAGGGUGCGUAGGUGGCGCCGUAAGUCGGGUGUGAAAUUUCGGAGCUUAACUCCGAAACUGCAUUCGAUACUGCUGUGCUUGAGGACUGGAGAGGAGACUGGAAUUCAUGGUGUAGCAGUGAAAUGCGUAGAGAUCAUGAGGAAGACCAGUGGCGAAGGCGGGUCUCUGGACAGUUCCUGACACUGAGGCACGAAGGCCAGGGGAGCAAACAGG